GUCGCGAGCGACAGCCUCCAUUCGCUCAUGUCAAGGGGCAGGCCUGGCCACCACCUGGAGUGAGCAGAGGGAGAUUCUAGGAUCUUCUCCAUCUCAAACAUGGCCACUGCGGAGCCUCAGUUCAAGGUAUGGACUUGGAUGGGAGAGAAACAUGGAAGCUGGCUGGGAAGAAACUCUGAGGCAUUCCAGUCAGAAGCACCUCAGGGCUCUCGCUCUCUCUCCCUGUGCAGAAAGGCAUCAGAAAACUCUCUACCUACUGACAGGUGUUCACUUCAAAUAGCAGAGUGUGUCAAGGAUCUGAGAUAUGAAGACCUCACCCUGGAUGGAAUCACUGGGGGACCCAAUGUUCAGCAAUUCCAGCAAUCAGCAAGGAGAGCAGCAUCAGAUAUUUUAUGGAGACAGAAAUUUGUCUCCUUUAUUUAAAUGACAGAAGCUUGAGUUCACCUGAAAGUGUCUAAAUCAAAAUCUACAAACAAAGUAAGGAGAAAUUCCUGUGAGAGAGUGUUCCCUGGCUGGGUAUGUUCUUCUGCCCAUGCUGCUGGCCUUUCAGGCACAGCUCUUCGAGGGGCUCUUUCCUCCUUUCCACUCUGACAUUCAUGACACAGAUCUUCUUGAAGGCAGACAACUAUGCUGCUUGCCUCAGAAAGCCCACUGGCCUGGAAAUGGAUUCCGGGUGAGGAAAAUUAAGGCACAGGUUGGGAACACGAUUUGGCUAAGACGGGUAUUAGGGGGCUGAGUUAUAU
Long non-coding RNA from Mustela erminea (ermine), 743 nucleotides. RefSeq lists it as uncharacterized. NCBI's taxonomy places the organism in Eukaryota, Metazoa, Chordata, Mammalia, Carnivora, Mustelidae. The record is from RefSeq and is a predicted model, not a curated record. The transcript has 4 exons.